This 467-nucleotide ribosomal RNA is filed under the name uncultured bacterium. Its description in RNAcentral is "partial 16S ribosomal RNA". It matches the Rfam family "Bacterial small subunit ribosomal RNA", at positions 28 to 507 of the family's 1533-position model. The record is from RNAcentral.
GACGAACGCUGGCGGCGUGCUUAACACAUGCAAGUCGAACGGAAAGGCCUCUUUCGGGGGGUACUCGAGUGGCGAACGGGUGAGUAACACGUGAGUAACCUGCCCUUGACUUUGGGAUAACUUCAGGAAACUGGGGCUAAUACCGGAUAGGAGCUCCUGCUGCAUGGGGGGGGUUGGAAAGUUUCGGCGGUUGGGGAUGGACUCGCGGCUUAUCAGCUUGUUGGUGGGGUAGUGGCUUACCAAGGCUUUGACGGGUAGCCGGCCUGAGAGGGUGACCGGCCACAUUGGGACUGAGAUACAGACCAGACUCCGACGGGAGGCAGCAGUGGGGAAUAUUGCACAAUGGGUGGAAGCCUGAUGCAGCAACGCCGUGUGCGGGAUGACGGCCUUCGGGUUGUAAACCGCUUUCGCUCAUGACGAAGCUUUGUGUGACGGUAGUGGGUAAAGAAGCACCGGCUAACUACGUG